GACAGAGGCCCCAAGCGUUAGUCGGAAUUACUGGGCUUAAAGGGUGCGUAGGCGGGCGUGUAAGUGUUCUGUGAAAUCCCCGGGCUCAACCCGGGAACCGCAGGGCAUACUGCACGUCUCGAGGAAGCUAGAGGCCGGCGGAACGAUCGGUGGAGCGGUGGAAUGCGUAGAGAUCGAUCGGAACGCCAAGGGUGAAGACAGCCAGCUGGGGCUUUCCUGACGCUGAGGCACGAAAGCGCGGGGAUCAAACAGG
RNAcentral lists this ribosomal RNA (253 nucleotides) under uncultured bacterium. Its description in RNAcentral is "partial 16S ribosomal RNA". It matches the Rfam family "Bacterial small subunit ribosomal RNA", at positions 524 to 776 of the family's 1533-position model. The record is from RNAcentral.